GGGGGGCGGGGGGCCAUGCGGGCCCGGCCCGGGGAAGGCGACAGCCCCCACGGGCCGCUGUGAGACCUCCCAGAGGUGGCCGGUGCAGCUAAUCCAGCCCCCCGAGUACUAGUCCCAAUGGAAUGUGACGGGAGCUUUGCCUGGCAAGGAAUUACUCUGUCCAGUACUGGGUUCUUCAGUACAAGAAAGAAAAGGAGCUACUGGAGAAGGUUCAGAGGAGAGCCAUAAAGAUGAUUAGAGGUCUGGAACAUCUCUCUUAUGAGGAGAGACUGCAGGACCUGAGCCUGAAUUGUCUAGAGAUGAGAAGACCGAGAGAGGAUCUCAUCAAUGGCCUAUAAGUAUCUCAAAGAUAGCAAGAAAUUCAAGCACGUGUUGUCUCAGGCAAAGAAAGUAACCUUAAAAAUUGCAUUUGAAGGAUUAAUGUCACCUCUGAUGUACCUGGAUCCACCUCACUACAUCUCACAAAAAGGACCCGCUUGUGCAAGAGAGUGCUAACUCUGACAUUACCUGUAUGCACUAAAGAAAAGAUCUCUGACUUCAAAACACUUGAGAGAAGGAAGUUUUGGACAAGACAUGCUAGAUGGUGGAAACCUCCUAAAUUAAAGGAAGUCAGAAAGGGACUGAACCAUGCUUUUGUGUUCUCUCUCUUUCAGUUCUGAUCUUUUUUUCAUAGAAGUUCAAUAUUCUUGAGAGAAAAUAUGUUGAGAUAAAUUUAUCAUAAUGCCAUGAUCAACAGGAACCUUCAGCUAACAGCAGUCAGCCUACAUGGCUGGAAAAUACGUAAUUUAUCACCCCUACCCAGAAAGCUUUCUAGCAAGAACAUGUAAUCAGAACACAGUCAAGCAUGACUGUUUCUCUCAUGAAGAGAAACUUAAACUUAUGCAAGGAUCCUGGACUGCCUCCCUGAGUGUCUACACAUGCCCAAGUAUAGUUUCUGUAUAGCUCACUGAAAAGCAGGAUAAAACACGAUAGACAAAUUUACUACCGUUUAAAACCAAAGAAACACAUCUUAACUCUUAUGCGCAAAUUUAGAAA
Long non-coding RNA from Lepidothrix coronata (blue-crowned manakin), 1035 nucleotides. RefSeq lists it as uncharacterized. NCBI's taxonomy places the organism in Eukaryota, Metazoa, Chordata, Aves, Passeriformes, Pipridae. The record is from RefSeq and is a predicted model, not a curated record. The transcript is spliced from 3 exons.